RNAcentral lists this ribosomal RNA (513 nucleotides) under Leptomelanosoma indicum (Indian threadfin). RNAcentral's name for it is "partial 16S ribosomal RNA". It matches the Rfam family "Bacterial large subunit ribosomal RNA", at positions 1847 to 2558 of the family's 2925-position model. Lineage: Eukaryota; Metazoa; Chordata; Actinopteri; Polynemidae. The record is from RNAcentral.
AAGAGGUCCUGCCUGCCCAGUGACAACCCAAAUUCAACGGCCGCGGUAUUCUGACCGUGCGAAGGUAGCGUAAUCACUUGUCUUUUAAAUGAAGACCUGUAUGAAUGGCAAGACGAGGGCUUGACUGUCUCCUUUUUCAAGUCAAUGAAAUUGAUUCCCCCGUGCAGAAGCGGGGAUGCUUACAUAAGACGAGAAGACCCUGUGGAGCUUUAGACGCAAGACAGACUAUGUCACUUACCCCAAAACAAAGGACAUCAAACUAAUAAAACCCUAUUCCUCCGUCUUCGGUUGGGGCGACCAUGGGGAAACAGAUACCCCCCACGCGGACUGGGAGCUCUCCCAAAACCAAGAGCGACCACUCUAACUAUCAGAACUUCUGACCAAAAGUGAUCCGGCAAUGCCGAUCAACGGACCAAGUUACCCCAGGGAUAACAGCGCAAUCCCCUUUUAGAGCCCAUAUCAACAAGGGGGUUUACGACCUCGAUGUUGGAUCAGGACAUCCUAAUGGUGCAG